AUGGCACCAAGCGCUGCUGAGCCUGAAAGCAGUGGCACGACGAGGAGGUCUCAAUUGAGUGGUUCAGCCUUCGGUCUUGAGGAUCAGGCAAAGGCCUCUCCUUUGGUGGCAUCAGCGGAAAGCUGCUGGAGUACAACUGAUUUGGCUCCGCACGGUGUAGACGUGCCAGACGAGGGGCAAGUUGUUCAAGCAGAUCGUUGGGAGACUUGUUUGCUCGCUCAGGAAGUGGACAUGAAGGCGGAGGAAGGAGAUGUUCAGGAGGGGUUCGGCGAGCACGAUCCAUCCGUCCAGACGACAGGCGAUGGCACUGCGGACGAACAAGUUUCAGAAGAUGCCUCUGCUGUCAUGGACUCAUUGAGAAAGGGAAGCGACGAGGAAGAAGAAGUCAGCAGCAGGGUGGCGAAGCGCCCGCGUGUGGAAUCUUAG
This 426-nucleotide ribosomal RNA is filed under the name Triticum aestivum (bread wheat). RNAcentral describes it as "partial small subunit ribosomal RNA". The record is from RNAcentral. Lineage: Eukaryota; Viridiplantae; Streptophyta; Magnoliopsida; Poales; Poaceae.